Molecule: unclassified non-coding RNA, 1058 nt
Filed under: Hevea brasiliensis (rubber tree)
Lineage: Eukaryota; Viridiplantae; Streptophyta; Magnoliopsida; Malpighiales; Euphorbiaceae
Source: RNAcentral
GGAAUGGAUGCUUGAUUAUGCACUUCAACAGGUUAUUUCUACACUAGCCCCAGCUCAGAAAAGAAAAGUAGCUUUGCUUUUUCAAGCAUUUGAAACGGUCAAUCCAUUACUGGAACCUGGUACCAGUCCGAGGUCUAGUGUAUCUGCUUCUUCACAUGCAUCUCCAGUUCAAACGGCUACUGCUUCCUCAUAUGAAAAGGGUUCUAGAAAAAGGAAAGAAACCAAUUUUGGAAUCUCUCUUCAUAAAUCAUCACGCCCUGACAUAAUUUACAAAGAUGAUCAAGACCAAGUCAGUGACUCCUGCACAGCAAAAGAGGGCAUUCCAAAGUCUUGUUCUAAGCUCAAUGAACCAAGUUCAAAAUCUGGUUCCACUCAUAAUGCACCUAGUAUUUUGACUUCUGAAUUCACUUCCAUAAGCUUGAAGGAACAUUUUGGAGCUCUCAAUCCUGAUAAUAGCGACCACAAUUACAUUGCCAAAGACGAUGACCCUGAUUCUAUUAGUUACCGUUUCGUGGAGCGAGGAGAAGCUACACAAACAGAACGGGGUGAGUCUUCCAAGACUGCCACUGCAGAGGAUCAGAAUACUCUGGCUCGCAUUGAGUUUAUACUAGUGCAGAUAGAGCAGAGAAUGUUGCGAGUAGAGCAGGAUAUUUCUCAGAUGGAUGCUCUCUUUCAGCAUAUAGUCUCGUUGCUACCUUCCCCAGCUCCACAGUGAUGAUGAUCAUUAUUUUAUAUCCUUUUGCGAUAUAUAUAUAUAUAUCCCUAUUUUGUUGGAUAGCACAUUUUAUUACCUCCCCUCAUUUUGGGAUAUUACGUAUUUAUAUAAGAUGAUGUAUAUGGGAUGUACAAGUAUGAUUGUAGGAGGGCUAUUUUGAGUAAUUGUAUGUUAUAUGUUUUCUUUUCUGGGAUGUGUUUAUAUUAUGCUAGGCAUCGUAUAUUAUCUUCCUCAUGAAAUGUGUGUGUGUGUGUGAAUAUGUAUGAAUGUAUGGAUGUGCACAGGCAUAAAUUUAUAGGAAUGUUAAUGUAUAUAUCUAUAUACUUGUGAAAGAGGAAAAUGC